UUGAACGCUGGCGGCAUGCUUUACACCUGCAAGUCGAACGGCAGCGCGGGCUUCGGCCUGGCGGCGAGUGGCGAACGGGUGAGUAAUACAUCGGAACGUGCCCAGUAGUGGGGGAUAGCUCGGCGAAAGCCGGAUUAAUACCGCAUACGGCCUGAGGGUGAAAGCGGGGGAUCUUCGGACCUCGCGCUCUUGGAGCGGCCGAUGGCAGAUUAGCUAGUUGGUGGGGUAAAGGCCUACCAAGGCGACGAUCUGUAGCUGGUCUGAGAGGACGACCAGCCACACUGGGUCUGAGACACGGCCCAGACUCCUACGGGAGGCAGCAGUGGGGAAUUUUGGACAAUGGGCGAAGGCCUGAUCCAGCAAUGCCGCGUGUGUGAUGAAGGCCUUCGGGUUGUAAAGCACUUUUGGCGGGAACGAAAAGGACUGUGCUAAUACCACGGUUCGAUGACGGUACCCGCAGAAUAAGCACCGGCUAACUACGUG
RNAcentral lists this ribosomal RNA (483 nucleotides) under uncultured bacterium. RNAcentral describes it as "partial 16S ribosomal RNA". It matches the Rfam family "Bacterial small subunit ribosomal RNA", at positions 29 to 507 of the family's 1533-position model. The record is from RNAcentral.